This 1596-nucleotide long non-coding RNA is filed under the name Ricinus communis (castor bean). RNAcentral's name for it is "long non-coding RNA (RCOM_LNC003468)". Lineage: Eukaryota; Viridiplantae; Streptophyta; Magnoliopsida; Malpighiales; Euphorbiaceae. The record is from RNAcentral.
GAAAAAUAUUAGUAAGCAUUAAUUGUUAAUAUAAGUAUUUAUUUUAGCAAGCAUUAAUUGUCAAUAUAAGUAUUUAUUUUACGUUUUAUUUAAAUUUAGCAAUUUGAUUAAAAUACUAAAUGUAUAAUUAGGUGGGUUAGAAUUAGACUUGGAUACAAAUUAAUAAAUUAUAAUUUAAAUAAAUAUUAUAUUUAAUUUAUUACACUAAAAUCUUUAUUUUUAUUCUAAUUUUAUUUAUUAUUUUAAUUUUUUAUUAUAUGGAUAAUAACAAGUUUAACAAUUAAAACUCUCGCGCAUAAUAUAUGAGUAAAAAAAACUAUAAAUGUAUAAAAUUUUUAAUAUUUGAAAGGAGAUAUUUCAAUAUGAACAGGAAUUUCAUAUAUCUGAAAGAUAUUUGUUAAAUAUUUAAUAUAUAUUGUUUACUGUAUUCAUUUGGAUCAAUGUUAGUAAUCAAGCAAUACUAGCAUUGUUAACCAAUAUAGUUAAGUAACUAAAAACGAUGAGAUAUCAACAAUUGAAUCUUACAAGUGAUAGCAAAGGUGCCUAUCAGAAAAUAUUUUGGUGGUAAUUUACCACAAAUUGAAAAUUAAUACAUUGAAACGUACAAAAAUAGAGAGGUUGAGGAUGUUAUAACAGUGUCAAGAAUUGCUUAUAUGUAAAGUAUUAUAAUUGAAAUUACAAAAUCAAUUCAAUAUAAGACAUCAAUAAAAAUAAUACCAAAAUAGUUACUUAAUUCUUCCCACACAUGCAUUUUGACAAUCUUAAUUGCAAUAUUUGAUUCAGUAAACCAGUUACAUUUUCACAUAAUUUUUUAUAUAACACAAAAGAAAACAUAAAUCUUUCAAUACUAUUUCAUGGCCGUAGAUAUUUGGCCUUGCAUGCUGUUAUUGUACCUUUGUUGGAGCACUUCAGUGGAAACUUAGUUAGUCUUUUAGAGGAUGGAGGUUUUGUUUACUGUUGAUUUAAUCCUUGGCUGCCAACCCAGUAUCCUUUUAAACUCAAGUAAAGCAAGCCAGCUGGGUGUCAGGUUGAAAAAGUCUCCCAUCAAAUCCACCCUCACUCUAAGUCAUGGAAUGAGUUGUUGGUAAGGCAAUCUUUUAAUAUCGAGGAGGCUAAGACUAUCCUACGACUGCCUCUGAGCUUCCUAGGGGCUAAAGAUAAAUUGAUCUAAAACUUUACAAGGGAUGGGAAGUCCAAAGUUAAUUCAAAAUAUGCAGUGGCAUCCAGCCUCCUCUCUCGGGUUGCCUCCUUCAAGGCGUUGGAAAUGGAAAGACUCAAAGCCAGUAGGGUGUGGAAAUGUUUAUGGAAUACAGGGCUCCUAAGUAAAAUUUCAAUCUUCCUUUGGAUUAAUGGUUAAUGGAUUGCCAUUUGGAACAAAAUUACAAAGAAGGGCAUCCUAGCUAGUGUGCAAUGUGCCUCCUACGGCUGUGAAGGAUAGCCCUCUUACCUUUUUUUUUUUUCUUUUUUUGUGGUAAGGCAAAGGCAGUACGGUGACUCUCACCCUUUAAGCUGAAGUCUGAAUUCCUUAGUGGAUCUUCGUUUGGGGACCGAUGGCUCUCUUUUACAGAUGGUAUUACAAAUGUAUUAUCAAGCGAU